Molecule: non-coding RNA, 1180 nt
Organism: Electrophorus electricus (electric eel)
Lineage: Eukaryota; Metazoa; Chordata; Actinopteri; Gymnotiformes; Gymnotidae
Source: RefSeq, a predicted model, not a curated record
GUUGUACUCAGUCAUAGGAAGUUGCUUUGUAUAAAAGCUUCAGAAACAUGAUACAUCUUCCUACUUUCAACCACACCGAUACAGAGACCCCGAAAGGUCAUGACACUGAGGACACAGGUCACAUAAGAACACAGGAUAACAUCUGUCUCACUACUUUAACUUUUACCUAAAGCAUUUGCUUACCUCACAACCACGCCUCCACCCAGCAGGGAAGCUGCAGCUGUAGUGUGAUGUUUUGCAUGGUUUACCACUACUACACUCACUCAGCACCACCGUCAUAGCGUUGCUCUUCUGGAUCCCUCAGCACGGUCAGCGCCGGGUGGAGGAGGGGAUCAUUUUCCCGACACGUCUGUGUGCAUUUUUCUUCUAGACGAUGAGACUUGUUUUUAAAUCAGCGGUUAGACGAAGGCUUAUGAAACAGGCGUAUUUAAACUUGUGCUGUUUAAAAAUAAAAAGUACAACAUGCCUCUUCAGAUCAUGAAAGAUGGAGAUUGUUUUUACAGUACAUGAAGGUUUAUUAUAUCAAUCUUUAGCCACCACCCACAGAUGUCUAUAAAAAUGGAGAAACACUUUGAUUUGUACAAGUUUACGACACUGGUGUGCACUCGGGAAAUGACACCGCUGUCUUUACACGAAGCCAACAUGAAACUUUCAUCACUCCGCAAGUUAUCAAGACGGUUUUGCUUUGCAGACCUUAGCGGAGACACCGCACACUGGUAGACACCCCCCCCCCCCCCAAAGACAGACAACUGAGGGGAGUUUGGGGGGAACAAAACCUCCUCUGUAGUCUGAAGAAAUGACCAUUUAAAAAUUCUCCCACAUCAACACAGACAGUUUCACACAGUCUCUGAACGUUUUUACAAGGUCUGUCGUAAAAAAACGAGCCGCAAGUUGCAGUGGCAAUUUGGCUUGGGCGCACGGUAAGAACGGUUCCUCGGUUAUAAACGUUUAGAAACUGCUACAGCGCUGGAAGGACAGUCCACACAGUACAGACACCUAGACAAGAUCCAACCCCAACACAGAAACCACAUUUAUACCCACAGCAGCCAACGAAAGAUCACGCGACACAGGAAACCUGCGCCUGCCUCACUGAGCGUGCUCAGAACACAGUCCAACCAGUACAAAAACCAAAGUGGCCACUUGCGCUGAAGAAAAGGAUGAACUGGGGGGAAAAAAAAAA